UGUUAAAAAUCUCAUCCAAUUUUACUAUUAAGAAAUGGUGUAGUUAAUGGAAUGACCAAAAAGUUAUACGUGGGAUGCCAAGUACAACUCAUACUGACGUAUAAGAACCCAUUUUUAUGUUUUAAUAAUAAAAAUAGAUGAAAGUUUUAACA
This 152-nucleotide microRNA precursor is filed under the name Gossypium hirsutum (cotton). RNAcentral's name for it is "MIR7502 microRNA precursor family". It matches the Rfam family "MIR7502 microRNA precursor family". The record is from Rfam by way of RNAcentral. RNAcentral also lists the same sequence under 1 other name. Lineage: Eukaryota; Viridiplantae; Streptophyta; Magnoliopsida; Malvales; Malvaceae.